RNAcentral lists this ribosomal RNA (500 nucleotides) under Salinivibrio siamensis. RNAcentral's name for it is "bacterial SSU rRNA". It matches the Rfam family "Bacterial small subunit ribosomal RNA", at positions 1 to 484 of the family's 1533-position model. Lineage: Bacteria; Pseudomonadati; Pseudomonadota; Gammaproteobacteria; Vibrionales; Vibrionaceae. The record is from RNAcentral.
UGAGUUUGAUCCUGGCUCAGAUUGAACGCCGGCGGCAGGCCUAACACAUGCAAGUCGAGCGGAAACGGCAGUAUUGAAGCUUCGGUGGAUUUACUGGACGUCGAGCGGCGGACGGGUGAGUAACGGCUGGGAACCUGCCCUGACGAGGGGGAUAACCGUUGGAAACGACGGCUAAUACCGCAUAAUGUCCUACGGACCAAAGGUGGCCUCUACAUGUAAGCUAUCGCGUUGGGAUGGGCCCAGUUAGGAUUAGCUAGUUGGUAAGGUAAUGGCUUACCAAGGCGACGAUCCUUAGCUGGUUUGAGAGGAUGAUCAGCCACACUGGGACUGAGACACGGCCCAGACUCCUACGGGAGGCAGCAGUGGGGAAUAUUCCACAAUGGGGGAGACCCUGAUGCAGCCAUGCGGCGUGUGUGAAGAAGGCCUUCGGGUUGUAAANCACUUUCAGCAGUGAGGAAGGUGGUGUACUUAAUACNUGCAUGGCUUGACGUUAGCUGCAG